This is an RNA transcript of Erigeron canadensis, 2826 nucleotides long. It is a transcript of the gene named protein FAR1-RELATED SEQUENCE 11-like, with no coding region annotated. The record is from RefSeq and is a predicted model, not a curated record. The transcript has 6 exons. Lineage: Eukaryota; Viridiplantae; Streptophyta; Magnoliopsida; Asterales; Asteraceae.
UAAAAAUCUCAUUCAGUAAGUAAAAUAUUUCUUCACUGUAAACUCGCUCUAUUUUCAGCUCAAUCAAUACGCAUUCGUAACUCUCAAACCCUGCUCAAUAGUGUUCCAUUUUCUCAACAUCAAUCACCAAAAAAAUAGGGACUACGUUUAAAAUUGCGUUCUGCGCAUUAUAUAAAAAUGAGCACAUCUGAAAACGGCACAGAUUUAUCCACUGAUGAUAUUGGCACCAUUGAGGAAAUUCCUGAGGACACAAUUUUGUAUCGACAAACUUCCAUUAACCUUGUGCCUUUCAUUGGCCAAAGGUUUGUUUCUCAAGAUGCUGCUUAUGAGUUCUACUGUAGCUUUGCUAAGCAGUGCGGCUUCUCAAUUCGUCGUCAUCGUACCCGUGGUAAAGAUGGUGUUGGGAGAGGGAUUACAAGACGGGAUUUUACCUGCCACCGCGGUGGAUUCGCACAAAUAAAACCAUCGGAGGAUGGGAAGGUACAAAGAAACCGCAAGUCAUCCCGUUGUGGAUGUCAAGCAUAUAUGAGAAUUGUGAAACGGGCAGAUUUUGAUGUUCCUGAGUGGCGUAUCACGGGUUUCAGUAACAUUCACAAUCACGAGAUCUCGAGGUCAAACAGUGUUCAACUUCAACUGCUUCCUGAUUACUGCACCAUGUCAUGUGAUGACAAAAGUCGUAUAUGUAUGUUUGCAAAAGCUGGGAUGUCAGUAAGACAGAUGUUAAGGCUGAUGGAGUUAGAAAAAGGCGUGAAACUUGGUUGUUUACCUUUCACGGAAAUUGAUGUGCGGAAUUUACUUCAGUCUUUCAGUAAUGCUGACCGAGAUAAUGACGCUAUUGAUCUUCUUAAAAUGUGUAAGGAUAAAAAGGAUAAAGAUCCAAACUUUAAAUACAAUUUCAAGAUUGAUGCCAACAGCCGUCUUGACCACAUUUCAUGGUCCUAUGGUUCAUCGGUUCAAUCUUUUGAGUCUUUUGGAGAUGUUGUGCUAUUUGACACAACCCACAGGUUGGAUGCUUAUGAUAUGCAUCUUGGAAUUUGGCUCGGUGUUGACAACUAUGGAACAAAUUGCUUUUUUGGUUGUGUGCUUCUACGUGAUGAGAAUAUGCAGUCAUUCUGUUGGGCGUUAAAGACAUUUUUAGGAUUCAUGAAUGGAAAGGCUCCUGAAACAAUAUUAACUGACCAAAACAUGUGGCUCAAGGAAGCAAUUGCUAUUGAAAUGCCUAGGACAAAGCAUGCCUUCUGCAUUUGGCAUAUUAGUUCAAAGUUUUCAGACUGGUUUUCAGUACUGCUUGGCUCACAAUAUGAUCUCUGGAAAUCUGAAUUUCAUGGACUCUUUAAUUUGCACUCAGUUGAUGAAUUUGAAUUAAGAUGGAGGGAGAUGGUUGAUACGUAUGGACUUCAUGGAAACAAGCACAUUGUCAGCUUGUAUGCUUUACGCACAUUCUGGGCACUGCCAUUCUUAAGGUGCUUCUUCUUUGCAGGAAUGACAAGUACCUUUCAGCCAGAGUCGAUAAAAUCUUUCAUCCAACGGUUUCUAAGUGCACAGUCUGUUCUUGAAAACUUUGUGGAGCAGGUAGCGGCAUUUAUAGAUGCUAAAGACCAAGCUGCAUUAAAACAAAAAUUGAUUAGAAGCCAGAAAGUAUCUCUCAAAACAGGUUCACCUAUAGAAUCGCAUGCUGCCAGUGUUCUUACUCCAUAUGCAUUCACCAAGUUUCAAGAACAACUCGUCUUGGCCCCGCAAUAUGCAUCCAUAUUAGUAGAUGAAAGUUACUUCAUCGUAAGACACCACACUGAAAUGAAUGGUGGAUGUAAAGUCAUUUGGGUCCCGCAUGAUGAAUUUAUUAGCUGCAGUUGCCAUGAUUUUGAAUUUUCAGGAAUCAUUUGUAGACAUAUACUCCGUGUUCUAUCUACGAACAACUGUUUUCACAUCCCUUAUCAGUACCUACCCAUUCGUUGGCGUGAUUCCUUAAAUUACACAAAAUCUAUUCUUAAUCCUGCUUUGGGUCAACCCUCAGGAAAUGUUCAGAUGCUACAGUCAUUGGUUUCAAACUUAGUUUCUGAAACCAUGGAAACGGAUGAACGGUUAAACUUUGCUUGUGGUCAAAUUAACUUGGUGUUGACUCGUCUCAAGGAUUUUCCUCGGCCAUCUAAUAGUGUUAAUGAUGUAACUUAUAACAAUAGCCCGCCUGAUUCAUUGAUUCUUCCAGAAGUUGAGGAUUCUGAUAGUAUUGUCCAAAGUUUUACUGGGAAUCCUCAUGAAUCGUUAAAUAUGGGGAAUCCAAAGGAAAGGCGUCCAGAUGGCUUAAGAAACCGAAGGCGUUGCUCUGUGCCAUGUUGUGGGGAGUUCGGGCAUGAUUGUAAUGAGUGCCCGCUGAUGGAAGGUGAUGAUCUAAAUGGAGAUGGACUUGGGUUUUUAUAGGUCUCUGCUCGUAAAGAAGUGACAAGAUGGAUGAGUCGGGCCAGUUAUAUAAAGGGUCAAAACAGGAUGAGAUUAGGAGAGAAAAGUGGAUAACCUUGGCAUGGAAUGAGGACAUUAGGAGGACUAUUAGGGAGAUGAGUUAGGGAGAUCUAUGAUCUAUCAGAUGCCAAAGCGGGGCUGCCUCCUGGGGUGAAGUUCAGGAUUCAAUUUCUGGCAUAAGUGAGUUGCGAUUAUUUGGGGUAAUUUAGGAGUAGAGUAGAUAUGUUCAAACAUUCGAUACCUUAUAUGGAUGUUUAUCCUUGUUUUUGGAGGUACAAUUACUUUUUAUGUUCUAUACUUUUAUAUGUAGUUAAGAAUAUACACAUAAUUUUCGAUAUAACGAGUAAAAAAGAAAAAUUUGUGAUUAAA